CCUGCUUGUAGGGGCAUUGCAGGUGUGGCUGCUAUGUCAUGUGUGUGUCAGUAGUUGACAGAGAGGAGAGAGUUGAUGUCUACACUCAGUGUUCUGACCUAUGAACAUCUGAAUGAUUAGUAACCUAAAAUU
Acomys russatus (golden spiny mouse) is the source of this 132-nucleotide small nucleolar RNA. RefSeq annotates it as small nucleolar RNA SNORA17. Lineage: Eukaryota; Metazoa; Chordata; Mammalia; Rodentia; Muridae. The transcript has a single exon. The record is from RefSeq and is a predicted model, not a curated record.